GGGCCAGCUGAAUGACGCCUCCGGGUGCGGGAGUUUCUCGCGGCAUUGAAGACCUAUUGGUGACCUUCUGUUUUUGUCUGUUCUAUGGUCGGGUUGUUGUCUCUUUAACACAUUCCCCAUUUCCAUUCUCAAUUUUAAAGGUUCCAGAAUUGGAAAACAUUAUUUUUCACCAGUCGCUUCGUUUCAUGUGACCUUAAUUACAUUAACUUAUUCUUUUGUAUUUUAUUUUUCUGUUUCCCACAUGCUGAUGUUGGUGGGUGAUAAGGUGUAACAGUUUUUUUUUUUUU
Molecule: long non-coding RNA, 287 nt
Filed under: Mytilus galloprovincialis (Mediterranean mussel)
Lineage: Eukaryota; Metazoa; Mollusca; Bivalvia; Mytilida; Mytilidae
Source: RNAcentral